Loxodonta africana (African savanna elephant) is the source of this 5246-nucleotide RNA transcript. It is a transcript of the gene named THO complex subunit 3, with no coding region annotated. Lineage: Eukaryota; Metazoa; Chordata; Mammalia; Proboscidea; Elephantidae. The record is from RefSeq and is a predicted model, not a curated record. The transcript has 7 exons.
CGCUCUCUGGAGCUCGGAAUGGCCGUCCCUCCGGCUGCAUUGGGGGCCUCAGCGUUGGGCCAGAGUGGUCCCGGCUCGAUGGCCCCUUGGUGCUCAGUGACCAGCGGCCCGUCGCGCUACGUGCUGGGGAUGCAGGAGCUUUUCCGGGGCCACAGCAAGACGCGCGAGUUCCCGGCGCAUAGCGCCAAAGUGCACUCUGUGGCCUGGAGCUGCGACGGACGCCGCCUGGCUUCGGGCUCCUUCGACAAGACGGCGAGUGUCUUCUUGCUGGAGAAAGACCGGUUGGUCAAAGAAAACAAUUAUCGAGGACAUGGGGAUAGUGUGGACCAGCUUUGUUGGCAUCCCAGUAAUCCUGACCUCUUUGUCACUGCGUCUGGAGACAAAACCAUUCGCAUCUGGGAUGUGAGGACUACAAAAUGCAUUGCCACUGUGAACACGAAAGGGGAGAACAUUAAUAUCUGCUGGAGUCCCGAUGGGCAGACCAUUGCUGUAGGCAACAAGGAUGAUGUGGUGACCUUCAUUGAUGCCAAGACACACCGUUCUAAAGCAGAAGAGCAGUUCAAAUUUGAGGUCAAUGAAAUCUCCUGGAACAAUGACAAUAACAUGUUCUUCCUAACAAAUGGCAAUGGUUGUAUCAACAUCCUCAGUUACCCAGAGCUGAAGCCUGUGCAGUCCAUCAACGCCCAUCCUUCCAACUGCAUCUGCAUUAAGUUUGACCCCAUGGGAAGGUACUUUGCCACAGGAAGUGCAGAUGCUUUGGUCAGCCUUUGGGAUGUGGACGAGUUAGUGUGUGUGCGGUGCUUUUCCAGGCUGGAUUGGCCUGUGAGAACCCUCAGUUUCAGCCAUGAUGGGAAAAUGUUGGCAUCAGCAUCGGAAGAUCAUUUUAUUGACAUUGCGGAAGUAGAGACAGGAGACAAGCUGUGGGAGGUGCAGUGUGAGUCCCCAACCUUCACUGUAGCUUGGCACCCCAAAAGACCUCUGCUGGCCUUUGCCUGUGAUGACAAAGAUGGCAAAUAUGACAGCAGCCGGGAAGCAGGAACCGUGAAGCUGUUUGGUCUUCCUAAUGAUUCCUGAUAGGAGGACCUGGGAGAGAGAGAGGAGGCCCUGGCAGACACCUUCCAGUGUGUACCAAAACCUCUGUCAGAUGCAGGGACACAGCAUGAAGGGCAUGAGCUACAGCAAUGCUUUUACAGGUCAGUGUUUACGUGUGUGUGUAUCUGGCCCCAUUCCACAACAGGUUUCAGGUGGCUUAUGACAAAUACAAGGAGCCCUGUUAAUGCAGUGGUUAAGCGCUCAGCUGCUAACUGAAAGAUGUGGUGUUGCUGGGUGGCAGUUCAAACCCACCCAGCUGCUCUGUGGGAGAAAGAUGUGGCCGUCUGCUUCUGUAAAGAUUUACAGCCUUGGAAGUCCUAUGGGGCAGUUCCACCCUGUCCUAUAGGAUCACUGUGAGUCGGAAUCGCCUCAGCAGCAGUGGGUAGGUAGCUAUGACAAACACUGAGAAAAGAAGUAAAAUAUAAAUAGGAAAUAGAAAAUCAGGAUAAGACUGUUACCGGAGAGAAUGCCCUUGGUUCUUGUCUUUGGUGUAGGAAGGAAUUUGAAACACUGAGACAAAUAGUGCCAAGUGAGCAGAAGUGUAUUAGCUAGCAGAGGGUUAGUAGUGAAAAUACACUUGACCAGGGAGUGUCAAGCGGGCUACUCAGAUAGAAAGCCUGAGUGCCUCGAUACAAUUGUUUUCUUAGAGCUUUGUUCACUUUUCUCUUGCCUCCCACUUCUUUUCUCAGGGCACCGCCUUCCCUUUUUGUUAACUUUCUAUGGGCUGGAAUGCUUCGUUGGCUUAAGGUUUAACUGCUGAGUCAGGGACCCCUGUAGGGACGAUUUCCUCUCUUUCUUUGCUCCAGUACAAGUUCCUUCCCUUGUGUUGACUUCCUGAGUCAGGGACCCCUGUAGGGACCAUUUCUCUUCUUUCUGGAGUGCAAGCUCUUCCCCUCCCCCUUACAAGACAAGUAUAAAUUAGAAUAGAGACUCAAGAUUUGGGAAAUAGAAAUAUGCAAAGAAUAAGGGCCUAGUUAAAUGAUUGAAUUAAAAUUUAGCUCUGAAUACCUUGGUGGCAAAGUAAAGAGAGCUAAAUUGGUUAGCUAAUUUUUAUUACAGGUAGCCCUUGACUUACAACGGAAUUCCAUUCCAACUUGGUUAUAAGUCAGUUUUGAUGUAAGCUGAAUACCUUUUUUUUUUAGUUUUCAUUAUUAUUGCCUUUUAUUAUCAGUAUCUUUAUAAAUCUGAUCUUUGAACAUCUGGGAGUGAAUAUUUGAGAAUGAUAACAUCAGCAAAUUAUGUGCUGCAACAUUGUAUGUAGUACGUAUUACUAACGAUUAGAUGUACAAAAAAAAGAUGGUCGUAAGUGUGGUUUGUCAUAACUCGAAUAUGUUGUAAGUUGGGGACUACCUGUAUUGGAAAGAAAAAUACAUGCCAACUCUUCAGGUAAGGCAAAGCUUUUAUCAGCUCAUACCUCCAAAAGAAAUGCCUCUUGUAGGAGAUUGUUACACAUGAAAAAUAUUGAUGUUCAUUAUAUUUGGAUGUGUUUUGGGUAUUAAAAAAAGAAGCAAAACAGAAGUAUACCUCAGUAAGUGAUGUUUGUAGAAAAUUUUGGAAAAAGCAGGGAAGCAAAAAGAACAAUCCCUAGCAUCAAGAUAACUUUUAGCAUUUUGGUGUAUAUCCCUCCAAGGUCUCUAGUUGGCUGAGACAGUUUUGUGCUUGACUGCUAACCUAAAGUUUGGCAGUUUGAACCCACCCAGUGGUGCUGCAAAAGAAAGGCCUAGCAAUCUGCUUCCGUAAAAAUUACAGCGAACAAAACCCUAUGGAGCAGUUCUGCUCCGUAACACUUCGGGUUGCCGUGAAUUGGAAUAGACUUGAUGGCAACAGAUGUGGUUUUUGUGUGUUCUUCCAGGAGUUUUCCUGUGCCCAUAUUUGUAUAUAAAAGCAGGCUUAUCUUCAUAAAUCUUGAGCGAUAGACAAAGCAAGUAUGACAAGAUAGAUAUGCAAAGUGCUUAGUAGAGUGCCGGGCAGGAUUCUGAACACUCAGGAAGUGUUUACAGACCUUUUUAGUUACUGGGCGUUCCCUGCGUGUUUGGGACUAUAGUAAGCACUUUACAUCACCUGUUACUCAGUUUCUGCAACUGUCUACUGAGGUUGGGUAUUAUCACCAUUUUACGGCUUUGGGGAGUAUAAGUAAUUCAGUGUUACUCGAUAGGUGAUGGUAUUUAGAUUACAGGUUUGCUUAAAUACUCAUAUGCCUGCCCUCCAUUGCAGUGGGCUACUCUGUCUCCACAGAUUUUGCUAUUCCCAUUUUACAGAUGAGCAAACCUCAGCUCAUAAGUUGGCUUGACCCAGGUCAGCAGGUGGAUAAUUUCUUCAGACUUCGGAGUUUUUCCUCCAGCCCCCUGAACAGCCUCUGCCUCCCUCCUUCCCUGAAGAAUAGUGGUGUUUUCAAUUGCAAACCAGCCUUCCAUCUCCUGUCAGCAGUUCAGGGGCUGGAGGAAGUAUGUCAGUGAGACAACACCUGUAUCUGUUGUUUCUUGCAUGUGCAAUUAUCUGAUUCCUAUGGUUGCUGCUCUAUUUCUGUCUAUAUCCUUUGGAACCACAUGCUGAAGGUUUGGUUUAGGUCUUAAUAUUUUAUCUAUUCUCUCUCUUUCACCCAUGUGAAUUUUUUUCUCCUUUGGGCUUCUGUAAAGUAGCAAUCCACACCACUUAAGAGAUUUAGUACUUUUAACAAGUGGGGCACUUGUGAAAAGAAAACACAUCAGUGAGAAAAGAGCUUCAGCUUGUGGCAGCCUCCGCUGGCUGUCAGGGUCUUGGUGACACCAAUUCUCUGUGCCUUGGCUUUGGGGUCCUGGAGGGACUCAAAGGUUGGGUCCCUCCUAGGGAAAUGACAAUGUGUCCCAGACUGGGACCUUAUGGUUUGAGUGAGUUUUCUAAUCUGCGGAGCUGGAAGAAUGCUAUUCAGAGUCAAAUCUGGCCAUUUACUAUUUGAUCAGUGCAAGCAUGUCAUAUAGUCAUUCCUCUAAACCUAGCAAGCCAGAAGUGGGUGGUGAGUUCAGCUGUUGGCUACACUUCAGUUGGUAGGAAGAUUUGGGAUUUGCUGAGCCAUUGACCCAUUGCUGUGUUGACUGGAAUUAGAAAUUAAGUAGGCACUCAAGGAUCCAUCUGACAUCAGCAAUGAUAUCCCUGGUUCCAUGUCCUCUUCUGAAUCCAGCCUGAAUUUCUGGCAGUUCCCUGUCGAUAUACUGCUGCAGCCGCUUUUGAAUGACCUUCAAAAUUUUGCUUGCGUGUGAUAUUAAUGAUAUUGUUCUAUAAUUUCCACAUUUGGUUAGAUCACCUUUCUUGGGAAUAGGCAUAAAUAUGGAUCUCUUCCAGUCAGUUGGCCAGGAAGCUGUCUUCCAUAGUUCUUGGCACAGAUGAGUGAGCACUUCCAGUGCUGCAUCUGUUUGUUGAAACAUCUCAGUUGAUAUUCCAGCAAUUCCUAGAGCCUUGUUUUUCGCCAGUGCCUUCAGUGCAGCUUGGACUUCUUCCUUCAGUACCAUCGGUUCCUGAUCAUAUGCCACCUCUUGAAAUGGUUGAAUAUUGACUAAUUCUUUUUGGUAUAAUGACUCUGUGUAUUCCUUCCAUCUUUUGAUGCUUCCUGAGUCGUUUAAUAUUUCCCCUAUUGAAUCCUUCACUAUUGCAACUUGAGGCUUGAAUUUUUUUCUUCAGUUCUUGCAGCUUGAGAAACGCCAAGCGUGUUCUUCCCUUUUGGUUUUCCAUCUCCAGCUCUUUGCACAUGUCAUUAUAAUACUUUACUUUGUCUUCUCGAGAGGCCCUUUGAAAUCUUCAGUUCUUUUACUUCAUCAGUUUUUCCUUUUGCUUUAGCUGCUCGAUGCUCAAGAGCAAGUUUCAGAGUCUCCUCUGACAUCCGUCUUGGUCUUUUCUUUCUUUCCUGUCUUUUCAGUGACCUCUUGAUUUCUUCAUGGAUGAUGUCCUUGAUGUCAUUCCACAACUCCUCUAGUCUACGGUCACUAGUGUUCAGUGCGUCAAAUCUGUUCUUCAGAUGGUCUCUAAAUUCAGGUGGGAUAUACUCAAGGUCAUAUUUUGGCUCUCAUGGACUUGCUCUGAUUUUCUUCAGUUUCAACUUGAACUUGCAUAUGAGCAAUUGAUGGUGUGUUCCACAGUUGGCUCCUGGCCUUAUUCUGACUGAUGAUAUUGAGCUUUUCCAU